UACGAAGGGUGCUAGCGUUGUUCGGAAUUACUGGGCGUAAAGAGCACGCAGGCGGUUUGGCAAGUCGGAUGUGAAAACCCGAAGCUCAACUUCGGGCCUGCAUCCGAAACUGCCCGACUAGAGGUAGGUAGGGGAGAUCGGAAUUCCUGGUGUAGCGGUGAAAUGCGCAGAUAUCAGGAGGAACACCGGUGGCGAAGGCGGAUCUCUGGGCCUUACCUGACGCUCAGGUGCGAAAGCUAGGGGAGCGAACAGG
This 253-nucleotide ribosomal RNA is filed under the name uncultured bacterium. Its description in RNAcentral is "partial 16S ribosomal RNA". It matches the Rfam family "Bacterial small subunit ribosomal RNA", at positions 524 to 776 of the family's 1533-position model. The record is from RNAcentral.